RNAcentral lists this long non-coding RNA (1491 nucleotides) under Sus scrofa (pig). RNAcentral's name for it is "lncRNA (ENSSSCG00025021240.1)". Lineage: Eukaryota; Metazoa; Chordata; Mammalia; Artiodactyla; Suidae. The record is from RNAcentral.
ACCACCGACCAGUCCUCAGCCGGCAACAUGAAGCUGGGUGGCCUCUGCCUCCUGCUCCUCCUCGCCGUCCUUCUCACCCUCAAUGCAGAGUUCCAAGCAGUUGAUGUAGGUAUCUGUGUGACGGAGUGCAAGGUAGACCAGGACUGUGGGGCAGGAAGACGAUGCACCAGCAAUGGAUGUGGCCGGGUCUGCUCCCCAGUCCGGCGAAGAGAGGCCUGCGAGCACCAGUGCAGAGAAGACAGGGACUGUGGGAGUGGACAUCAGUGCGUGAGGAAGGGCUGUGGGCACGUCUGCGCCCCCGUCCAUCAAGUCGAUGUAGGUAUCUGUGUGACGGAGUGCAAGGUAGACCAGGACUGUGGGGCAGGAAGACGAUGCACCAGCAAUGAAUGUGGCCGGGUCUGCUCCCCAAUCCAGCGAAGAGAGGCCUGCGAGCACCAGUGCAGAGAAGACAGGGACUGUGGGAGUGGACAUCAGUGCGUGAGGAAGGGCUGUGGGCACGUCUGCGCCCCCGUCCAUCAAGUCGAUAUAGGUAUCUGUGUGACGGAGUGCAACGUAGACCAGGACUGUGGGGAAGGAAGACAAUGCACCAGCAAUGGGUGUGGCCGUGUCUGCUCCCCAGUCCAGCAAGAAGAGGCCUGCGAGCACCAGUGCAGAGAAGACAGGGACUGUGGGAGUGGACAUCAGUGCGUGAGGAAGGGCUGUGGGCACGUCUGCGCCCCCGUCCAUCAAGUCGGCAUCUCAACCCGGUCUUUUCUCAAGAUGUAGGUAUCUGUGUGACGGAGUGCAAGGUAGACCAGGACUGUGGGGAAGGAAGACGAUGCACCAGCAAUGGGUGUGGCCGUGUCUGCUCCCCAGUCCAGCAAAAAGAGGCCUGCGAGCACCAGUGCAGAGAAGACAGGGACUGUGGGAGUGGACAUCAGUGCGUGAGGAAGGGCUGUGGGCACGUCUGCGCCCCCGUCCAUCAAGUCGAUGUAGGUAUCUGUGUGACGGAGUGCCGUGUAGACCAGGACUGUGGGGAAGGAAGACAAUGCACCAGCAAUGGAUGUGGCCGUGUCUGCUCCCCAGCCCAGCAAAGAGAGGCCUGCGAGCACCAAUGCAGAGAAGACAAGGACUGUGGGAGUGGACAUCAGUGCGUGAGGAAGGGCUGUGGGCACGUCUGCUCCCCCAUCCCUCAAGUAGGUAUCUGUGUGACGGAGUGCAAUGUAGACCAGGACUGUGGGGCAGGAAGACGAUGCACCAGCAAUGGAUGUGGCCGUGUCUGCUCCCCACCCCAGGGAGGAGGACUCUGUGUGGACCGCUGCCGAGGAAACUGGGACUGUGGGGCCGGAGAAGAAUGUAUCAGGAAGGGAUGUGGACGGGUCUGCUCUCCAGCCCAGGAGCCAGUGGUAGGUAUCUGUGUGGAUCAGUGCCAAAGACACUGGGAAUGUGGUCCACGGAUGCGGUGUGUCUCCACUGGAUGUGGCCACAUCUGCUCACCAGCCCAAGACCAAG